RNAcentral lists this transfer RNA (69 nucleotides) under Dipodomys ordii (Ord's kangaroo rat). It matches the Rfam family "tRNA". Rfam says of the family: Transfer RNA (tRNA) molecules are approximately 80 nucleotides in length. Their secondary structure includes four short double-helical elements and three loops (D, anti-codon, and T loops). The record is from Rfam by way of RNAcentral. Lineage: Eukaryota; Metazoa; Chordata; Mammalia; Rodentia; Heteromyidae.
GAAGGUGGCUCAGUGGUAGAGCGUUUGCCUUGCAUGCAUGAGGCCCUGGAUUCGAUUCCCAAGGCUUCA